Molecule: ribosomal RNA, 398 nt
Filed under: Fuligo septica var. flava
Lineage: Eukaryota; Evosea; Eumycetozoa; Physariida; Physaraceae
Description: SSU rRNA
Rfam family: Bacterial small subunit ribosomal RNA
Source: RNAcentral
GAUAUUAAACACAGUAAAAGACUGAGGAAUAACCUCUUUAAUCUGCGUUCACUGAUUAUUUUGAGUGCAGAAGACGGUUUUAGAAUUCCUGAAGAAAGGGUAAAAUUGUUGAUAUAGGAAAACUUUCGAUGGCGAAAGCAUUUACCGAUUCUGUUCUGACGCUAGGUACUAAAGCUUGGGGAGAAAGAGGAUUAGAGACCUCGUAGUCCUUGCCUUAAACAAUGAGUGUUCAACGUCUUAGAAUACUCGGAUUCACUUAAUUGAUGCGAUCCUAGAGGAUUCUUGGGGGUUUAAAGCUAACGCGUGAAACACCGCCUGGGGAAUGUGGCCGCAAGGUUAAACUCAAAGGAAUUGACGGAGACUCAUACAAGGAGUGGAGCAUGUGGUUUAAUUCGAGA